Molecule: long non-coding RNA, 902 nt
Filed under: Lonchura striata (white-rumped munia)
Lineage: Eukaryota; Metazoa; Chordata; Aves; Passeriformes; Estrildidae
Description: domestica (Bengalese finch) lncRNA (ENSLSDG00000002949.1)
Source: RNAcentral
UUGGUCACUGGUCACUGGUGGUCACUGGUCACUGGUCACUGGUCACUGGUCACUGGUCACUGGUGGGUACUGGUCACUGGUGGGCAGUGGUGGGUACUGGUCACUGGUGGUCACUGCUGGUCACUGGUGGGCAGUGGUGGGUACUGGUCACUGGUGGGCAGUGGUCACUGGUGGGCACCGGUGGUCACUGGUGGGCACUUGGUGGUCACUUGGAGCGCUGAUGGUCACCGUUGGUCACUGGUCACCGUUGGUCACUGGUCACUGGUGGGCACUGGUGGUCACUGGUGGCAGUGGUCACCGUUGGUCACUGGUCACUGGUCACUGGUCACUGCUGGUGAUGGUCACUGGUGGCACUGGUCACUGGUCACUGGUCACUGGUCACUGGUGGUGCUGGUCACUGGUGGCCAGCACCAAUCACUGCUCUCAGUCACUGGUGGCACUGGUUUAACUGGUGUCCAUCCGGGAUGUCACUGGUUUAACUGGUGUCACUGGUGUCUGGCACUGGUUUAACUGGUCUAACUGGUCUCUAACUAGUCUAACUGGUCUCUAACUGGUCUCUAACUGGUCUCUAACUAGUCUAACUGGUCUCUAACUGGUCUCUAACUGGUCUCCAACUGGUCCCUAACUGGUCUCUAACUGGUCUCUAACUGGUAUAACUGGUCUAACUGGUCUGUAGCUGAUCUCUAGCUGGUCUCUAACUGGUCUAACUGGUCUCUAACUGGUCUAACUGGUCUAACUAGUCUCUAACUGGUCUAACUGGUCUAACUGGUCUCUAACUGGUCUAACUGGUGUCCCGCUGUCCGGCACUGGUCAGCGCAGUCCGGCCGGGCGUGGCCGGGGUGGGGGAGGGGCCGUUUGGGGGGUUCUCCCCCCCCCGCCCCUCCCCCCAGGAAGGAGCGGGG